CCGCAGGGAGAAGCCCUGAGUGGUACUGGGAAACUCUGGGAGACGGUCGUCCUGUUAUUAUCUAUCUCCAUGGCAACACAGGGACCAGGGCCUUACAUUACAGAGUGGAACUGGUAAAGGUUUUGAGUGCUGCAGGAUACCAUGUCGUCUCUUUUGACUACAGAGGUUUUGGAGACUCCACUGGCGAGCCAAGUGAAGCUGGACUAACCACUGACGCCCUCUACGUGUACCACUGGGUAAAGAAACACAGCAGGGGAAGUCCAAUCUAUCUGUGGGGACACUCGCUCGGCUCUGGGGUGGCAACAAAUACUGCAGUGAAAAUACAAGAGCAAGG
This is a non-coding RNA of Plectropomus leopardus (leopard coralgrouper), 334 nucleotides long. NCBI's taxonomy places the organism in Eukaryota, Metazoa, Chordata, Actinopteri, Perciformes, Serranidae. The record is from RefSeq and is a predicted model, not a curated record.